RNAcentral lists this long non-coding RNA (411 nucleotides) under Bos taurus (domestic cattle). RNAcentral describes it as "long non-coding RNA NONBTAT009033". Lineage: Eukaryota; Metazoa; Chordata; Mammalia; Artiodactyla; Bovidae. The record is from RNAcentral.
AAAGAACUAGAGUUUUAACUUCAUAUGAGUGGUAGGCUUUGAAUUUGAUCCUCGCCCAAGUUGGAAUCCUGUUUGCUUAAGACGUUAGUGUAAUGACAGAAAGAAAGCAGAGUAGUAAAGCUGAAGAAUCCUUGUUACUUACAGUGGUCUGUCUGCUGUUUAAAAUAUACAGAUUAUCUUCGCACCUUGCUUGUGUGUAUGGCUCAAUCUGUAUUUCUAACAUCCUGCCGCUUUUAGAAAUCUAGACUGCCAGGUGGUACGUCUACGUCUUUCUAGGUCUUAAUCUGAGCAGAAAACCUCAUGUGUGUAUUUCUAUUCUGAAUGCCCUUCCCUUUGCCCCUUAAAUCAUAAGUUGGCCACAUGGUGACUUAGUGGGAACUGCAGAAGUCAACCCUAAAGGGGGUUCAGUGU